ACCUGCCUGGCUCAGUCUGAAGAGCACAGGACUCUAGAUCUUGGGGUCAUGAGUUUGAACCCCACGUUGGGUG
RNAcentral lists this transfer RNA (73 nucleotides) under Mustela putorius furo (domestic ferret). It matches the Rfam family "tRNA". From Rfam's summary of the family: Transfer RNA (tRNA) molecules are approximately 80 nucleotides in length. Their secondary structure includes four short double-helical elements and three loops (D, anti-codon, and T loops). Further hydrogen bonds mediate the characteristic L-shaped molecular structure. tRNAs have two regions of fundamental functional importance: the anti-codon, which is responsible for specific mRNA codon recognition, and the 3' end, to which the tRNAs corresponding amino acid is attached (by aminoacyl-tRNA synthetases). tRNAs cope with the degeneracy of the genetic code in two manners: having more than one tRNA (with a specific anti-codon) for a particular amino acid; and 'wobble' base-pairing, i.e. permitting non-standard base-pairing at the 3rd anti-codon position. Lineage: Eukaryota; Metazoa; Chordata; Mammalia; Carnivora; Mustelidae. The record is from Rfam by way of RNAcentral.